Molecule: long non-coding RNA, 386 nt
Organism: Terrapene triunguis (Three-toed box turtle)
Lineage: Eukaryota; Metazoa; Chordata; Testudines; Emydidae
Exons: 3
Source: RefSeq, a predicted model, not a curated record
UGAGCUGCUGGAGAUACUGUCUCAGACAAAGAACCCCACUGCUGUACAGCCUCACCUCCGCAAGUGCUUUGAGAAUAUUGCACGGCUGCUCUUCCAGGAGGACCUACAGAUCACACACAUGUACUCUGCAGAAGGGGAGGAGGUGAAGCUGGUUUUCCCCAUUUAUCCCACUGGCAAUGUGGAGAACUGGCUGCUGGAAGUCGAGAAAUCUAUGAAGGCCAGCGUGCGGGACAAUAUUGAAAGAUCGAUCAGGGUUUAUCCACAUACACCACGUAGUUCAUGGGUCUUGCAAUGGCCUGGGCAGGUGACCAUCGCUGGCUGUCAAACUUACUGGACAAAGGAAGUAUCUGAGGCCCUGGAGGCUGGGGAUUUGUCCACCAGGCUGU